Molecule: ribosomal RNA, 332 nt
Filed under: uncultured bacterium
Lineage: Bacteria
Description: bacterial SSU rRNA
Rfam family: Bacterial small subunit ribosomal RNA
Source: RNAcentral
CGUGUAGGCGGUUUGAUAAGUCUGAUGUGAAAGCCCCGGGCUCAACCUGGGAAGUGCAUUGGAAACUGUCAGACUUGAAUACGGGAGAGGGCAGUGGAAUUCCUGGUGUAGGAGUGAAAUCCGUAGAUAUCAGGAGGAACACCGGUGGCGAAGGCGGCUGCCUGGACCGAUAUUGACGCUGAGACGCGAAAGCGUGGGUAGCAAACAGGAUUAGAUACCCUGGUAGUCCACGCCGUAAACGAUGAGUACUAGGUGUUGCGGGUAUUGACCCCUGCAGUGCCGCAGCUAACGCAUUAAGUACUCCGCCUGGGAAGUACGGUCGCAAGACUAAA